CCUACGGGUGGCUGCAGUGGGGAAUAUUGCACAAUGGGCGCAAGCCUGAUGCAGCCGUGCCGCGUGUGUGAAGAAGGCCUUCGGGUUGUAAAGCACUUUCAGCGGGGAGGAAGGCGGUGAGGUUAAUAACCUCAUCGAUUGACGUUACCCGCAGAAGAAGCACCGGCUAACUCCGUGCCAGCAGCCGCGGUAAUACGGAGGGUGCAAGCGUUAAUCGGAAUUACUGGGCGUAAAGCGCACGCAGGCGGUCUGUCAAGUCGGAUGUGAAAUCCCCGGGCUCAACCUGGGGACUGCAUUCGAAACUGGCAGGCUAGAGUCUUGUAGAGGGGGGUAGAAUUCCAGGUGUAGCGGUGAAAUGCGUAGAGAUCUGGAGGAAUACCGGUGGCGAAGGCGGCCCCCUGGACAAAGACUGACGCUCAGGUGCGAAAGCGUGGGGAGCAAACAGGAUUAGAUACCCCGGUAGUC
Molecule: ribosomal RNA, 465 nt
Filed under: uncultured Klebsiella sp.
Lineage: Bacteria; Pseudomonadati; Pseudomonadota; Gammaproteobacteria; Enterobacterales; Enterobacteriaceae
Description: bacterial SSU rRNA
Rfam family: Bacterial small subunit ribosomal RNA
Source: RNAcentral